Molecule: long non-coding RNA, 554 nt
Filed under: Lupinus mutabilis
Lineage: Eukaryota; Viridiplantae; Streptophyta; Magnoliopsida; Fabales; Fabaceae
Description: partial ncRNA
Source: RNAcentral
CUGAAAUUGAAUGCAAUUUGAAGAAGCAUAUAUAUUUGUGAUAAUUGUCUUCAAUAUUUGAGGCAUGGAAGCAACAAUAGUUCAAACACUUUGUGUGCGUUUUCCAUUCACUUUCAGAUUCGAAUUUAGACCUUACCUUCGCACCAUUUCUCAUCCAGUUUCUUCUUCUUCUUCUUCUUCUUCUCUACUUUCUCCACUCACUAUUCUUCACUCUAAACCUUCUUCUUCGCGUUCGCGUUUCUCUGCAUUAUGUUCUUUAUCCCCACACCACAGCCACAACCACGAGUCUUCUCAUCAACUCGCUAUCCUUCUCGAAGUCGAAGGGGUUCUCUUUGAUGCAUAUCGUCUUGGAAAUCGUCAAUCCUUCAAUAAAGGUAUCGCCAAUUCAAGUUGAUUGCUUCAUAUGUCUAUGUCUGUAAUUGUAAUAUAUUGUGUGCCUUGCAGCAUUUGAGAAGCUUGGCCUUGAUUGUGCAAAUUGGACUGAACCUAUCUAUACAGAUCUUUUGAGGAAAAGUGCUGGAGAUGAGGAAAAGAUGGUAUAUUUGUAUUUUAAC